This 415-nucleotide ribosomal RNA is filed under the name uncultured soil bacterium. RNAcentral's name for it is "bacterial SSU rRNA". It matches the Rfam family "Bacterial small subunit ribosomal RNA", at positions 26 to 421 of the family's 1533-position model. The record is from RNAcentral.
AGAUUGAACGCUGGCGGCAGGCCUAACACAUGCAAGUCGAGCGGUAGAGAGGUGCUUGCAUCUCUUGAGAGCGGCGGACGGGUGAGUAAUGCCUAGGAAUCUGCCUAGUGGGUGGGGGAUAACGGUUCGGAAACGGACGCUAAUACCGCAUACCGUCCUACGGGAGAAAGGCGGGGGACCUUCGGGCCUCGCGCCAUUAGAUGAGCCUAGGUCGGAUUAGCUUAGUUGGUGAGGUAAUGGCUCACCGAAGGCGACGAUCCGUAACUGGUCUGAGGAGGAUGAUCAGUCACACUGAACUGAACGACACGGUCCAGACUCCGUACGGGAGGCAGUCAGGUAGGGGAAUAGUUAGGAACAAGUGGGACGAAAGCCUAGAUCCAGCCAGUCGCCGCGUGCGUGAAGGACGUCGUUACGG